Molecule: non-coding RNA, 74 nt
Organism: Potamilus streckersoni
Lineage: Eukaryota; Metazoa; Mollusca; Bivalvia; Unionida; Unionidae
Source: the annotation of a GenBank genome assembly
CGCUCAGGUGGCAUAGUGGUUAGAGCGUCAGCCUCAGAUGUGUGAGGACUAGGGUUCGAUCCCCGGUCGAGUCA